UGAUGCUGACCGGAUGUCAA
This 20-nucleotide small RNA is filed under the name Arabidopsis thaliana (thale cress). Its description in RNAcentral is "Ath_wt_01821". The record is from RNAcentral. Lineage: Eukaryota; Viridiplantae; Streptophyta; Magnoliopsida; Brassicales; Brassicaceae.